UGGGAUGUCGUCUAAUGGUAGGACAGCGGUCUCUGGCUCCGUAUGUGAGGGUUCAACUCCUUCCAUCCCAGCCA
This 74-nucleotide transfer RNA is filed under the name Candidatus Cloacimonadota bacterium. RNAcentral's name for it is "tRNA-Gln". It matches the Rfam family "tRNA". From Rfam's summary of the family: Transfer RNA (tRNA) molecules are approximately 80 nucleotides in length. Their secondary structure includes four short double-helical elements and three loops (D, anti-codon, and T loops). The record is from RNAcentral. RNAcentral also lists the same sequence under 1 other name. Lineage: Bacteria; Pseudomonadati; Candidatus Cloacimonadota.